UCAGAAAAUAGUUUAAAUAAAAUAUUAAUUUUGGAGAUUAAUGAUAAAAUAAUUUUUUUUUCUGAA
RNAcentral lists this transfer RNA (66 nucleotides) under Mastax latefasciata. RNAcentral's name for it is "tRNA-Pro". Lineage: Eukaryota; Metazoa; Arthropoda; Insecta; Coleoptera; Carabidae. The record is from RNAcentral.